RNAcentral lists this ribosomal RNA (954 nucleotides) under uncultured bacterium. RNAcentral describes it as "bacterial SSU rRNA". It matches the Rfam family "Bacterial small subunit ribosomal RNA", at positions 28 to 998 of the family's 1533-position model. The record is from RNAcentral.
GACGAACGCUGGCGGCGUGGAUUAGGCAUGCAAGUCGCGCGACAGGCGGAGCAAUCCGUUAUGGAGCGGCGAACGGGUGAGUAACACGUGAGAAAUCUACCUCUACGUUCCGGAUAAUUGGUCGAAAGACCUUGUAAUACGGGGGAGGCUUCUUUUUAGGCAUCUUUAAGGAAGCAAACGAGCAAUCGGCGCAGAGAUGAUCUCGCGGCUUAUCAGGUAGUUGGUGGGGUAACGGCCUACCAAGCCGACGACGAGUAGCUGGUCUGAGAGGAUGGCCAGCCACAUUGGAACUGAGAUACUGUCCAGACUCCUACGGGAGGCUGCAGUCGAGAAUCUUGGGCAAUGCACGAAAGUGUGACCCAGCGACGCCGCGUGAAGGAUGAAGGCCCUCCGGGUCGUAAACUUCUUUUACGGGGGAAGAACACAAUGACGGUACCCCGUGAAUAAGCCACGGCUAACUACGUGCCAGCAGCCGCGGUAAUACGUAGGUGGCAAGCGUUGUCCGGAUUUACUGGGCGUAAAGGGCAAGCAGGCGGAUCGUUAAGUAGAAAGUGAAAGGUCGGAGCUCAACUCCAACAUUGCUUUCUAUACUGGCGGUCUUGAGUCCCGGAGGGGAGAGCGGAACGACACGUGUAGCGGUGAAAUGCGUUGAUAUGUGUCGGAACACCAAUGGCGAAGGCAGCUCUCUGGACGGGCACUGACGCUCAUUUGCGAAAGCCGAGGUAGCGAACAGGAUUAGAUACCCUGGUAGUCUCGGCCCUAAACGAUGAUCACUAGGUGUCGGGGGGUUUCCCUCGGUGCCGCAGCUAACGCAUUAAGUGAUCCGCCUGGGGACUACGGCCGCAAGGUUGAAACUCAAAGGAAUUGGCGGGGGCCCGCACAAGCGGUGGAGCAUAUGGCUUAAUUCGAUGCAACGCGAAGAACCUUACCCAGGCUUGACAUGCAACUGCAAGC